Molecule: ribosomal RNA, 429 nt
Filed under: Actinomycetes bacterium
Lineage: Bacteria; Bacillati; Actinomycetota; Actinomycetes
Description: Actinobacteria bacterium partial 16S ribosomal RNA
Rfam family: Bacterial small subunit ribosomal RNA
Source: RNAcentral
UAGGGAAUCUUCCGCAAUGGGCGAAAGCUUGACGGAGCAACGCCGCGUGAGUGAUGAAGGUCUUCGGAUCGUAAAACUCUGUUACUAGGGAAGAACAAAUGUGUAAGUAACUAUGCACGUCUUGACGGUACCUAAUCAGAAAGCCACGGCUAACUACGUGCCAGCAGCCGCGGUAAUACGUAGGUGGCAAGCGUUAUCCGGAAUUAUUGGGCGUAAAGCGCGCGUAGGCGGUUUUUUAAGUCUGAUGUGAAAGCCCACGGCUCAACCGUAGAGGGUCGUUGGAGACUGGAAAACUUGAGUGCAGAAGAGGAGAGUGGAAUUCCAUGUGUAGCGGUGAAAUGCGCAGAGAUAUGGGGGAACACCAGUGGCGAAGGCGACUUUCUGGUCUGUAACUGACGCUGAUGUGCGAAAGCGUGGGGAUCAAACAGG